This 440-nucleotide ribosomal RNA is filed under the name uncultured bacterium. RNAcentral's name for it is "partial 16S ribosomal RNA". It matches the Rfam family "Bacterial small subunit ribosomal RNA", at positions 338 to 795 of the family's 1533-position model. The record is from RNAcentral.
CCUACGGGAGGCAGCAGUGGGGGAGAUUGCACAAUGGGGGAAACCCUGAUGCAGCGACGCCGCGUGUGGGAAGACGGUCCUCUGGAUUGUAAACCACUGUCCCCAGGGACGAAGAUGACGGUACCGGGGGAGGAAGCGCCGGCCAACUACGUGCAAGCAGCCGCGGUAAGACGUAGGGAGCGAGCGGGGGCCGGAAGGACUGGGGGUACAGGGAGCGUAGGCGGGACUGCAAGUUGGGGGGCAAAUCUACCGGCUCAACCGGUAGCCGCACUCCAAACGGCAGUUCGUGAGGGCAGUAGAGGCCGUCGGCAUUCCUAGUGUAGCGGUGCAUUGCGUAGAUAUUAGGAGGCACCCCAGUGUCGACGGCGGCCUGCUGGGCUUUUCCUGCCGCUGAGGCUCGACAGUGUGGGGCGCAAACAGGAUUCGCUACCCGUGUAGUC